This 129-nucleotide transfer RNA is filed under the name Nonomuraea angiospora. RNAcentral's name for it is "tRNA-OTHER". The record is from RNAcentral. Lineage: Bacteria; Bacillati; Actinomycetota; Actinomycetes; Streptosporangiales; Streptosporangiaceae.
GGGCCAGUCGUGGGCCAUCAAGCCACCCACCUGCGUUGCCGAACGCGUAAUGCCUGGUCAGAUCGCUAGCGUGGGCGAAAUCCGCAGCCCUCUCCGGAGCCGGGUGCGCAGGUUCGAAUCCUGCAGGGG